GACGAACGCUGGCGGCGUGCUUAACACAUGCAAGUCGAACGGAAAGGCCCUGCUUUUGUGGGGUGCUCGAGUGGCGAACGGGUGAGUAACACGUGAGUAACCUGCCCUUGACUUUGGGAUAACUUCAGGAAACUGGGGCUAAUACCGGAUAGGAGCUCCUGCUGCAUGGUGGGGGUUGGAAAGUUUCGGCGGUUGGGGAUGGACUCGCGGCUUAUCAGCUUGUUGGUGGGGUAGUGGCUUACCAAGGCUUUGACGGGUAGCCGGCCUGAGAGGGUGACCGGCCACAUUGGGACUGAGAUACGGCCCAGACUCCUACGGGAGGCAGCAGUAGGGAAUAUCGCACAAUGGGCGGAAGCCUGAUGCAGCAACGCCGCGUGCGGGAUGACGGCCUUCGGGUUGUAAACCGCUUUCGCCUGUGACGAAGCGUGAGUGACGGUAAUGGGUAAAGAAGCACCGGCUAACUACGUG
This 468-nucleotide ribosomal RNA is filed under the name uncultured bacterium. Its description in RNAcentral is "partial 16S ribosomal RNA". It matches the Rfam family "Bacterial small subunit ribosomal RNA", at positions 28 to 507 of the family's 1533-position model. The record is from RNAcentral.